This 1447-nucleotide ribosomal RNA is filed under the name uncultured Bordetella sp. RNAcentral's name for it is "partial 16S-23S ribosomal RNA intergenic spacer". It matches the Rfam family "Bacterial small subunit ribosomal RNA". Lineage: Bacteria; Pseudomonadati; Pseudomonadota; Betaproteobacteria; Burkholderiales; Alcaligenaceae. The record is from RNAcentral.
GGGUUUGAUCAUGGCUCAGAUUGUAAUCAUUAUGACGUUUACACAUGCAAGUCGAACGGCAGCACGGACUUCGGUCUGGUGGCGAGUAUGGCGAACGGGUGAGUAAUGUAUCGGAACGCUCAGUAGUGGGGAUAACUACGCGAAAGCGUAGCUAAUACCGCACACCUUCGGGGAGGCCGGGACCUUCGGGCCUCGCACUAUUAGGAGCGGCCGAUAUCGGGAUUAGCUAGUUGGUGGGGUAACGGCUCACCAAGGCGACGAUCCGCUGGUCGAGAGGACGACCAGCCAGCUUAUCACCGGAGACACGGCCCAGACUCCUACGGGAGGCAGCAGUGUAAAAUUCUGACAAUGGGGAAACUCCUGAUCCGCGCCAUCCUGGGCGUAGGUGCGAUGAAGGCCUCGGGUUGUAAAGCACUUUCUUGGCAGAAAGAAACGGCACGGGAUACCCUGUAACUGAUUGCGCCUUAGCGGGGAGAAUGGGUUACCCAUGACCAUGCCAGCAGCCGUAAUACGUAGGGUGCAAGCGUUAAUCGGAAUUACUGGCGUAAAGCGUGCAAGGCAGGCGGUUCGGAAAGAAAGAUGGAAAUCCCAGAGCUGAAUCUUGAACCGCAUUUUUAAUCACUGAGCUAGAUGCGUCAGAGGGAGGUGGAAUUCCGCGUAGCAGUGAAAUGCGUAGAUAUGCGGGAGACACCGAUGGCGAAGGCAGCUCCUGGGAUAACACUGACGUCAUUAGCGUACGAAAGCGUGGGAGCAAACAGGAUUAGAUGACCUGCAGAACCACGCCCCAAACGCGAUGUCAACUAGCUGUUGGGGCCUUCGGCCUGCAGCAGCUAACGCGUGAAGUUAACGCCUGGGGAGCACGUGGUCGCAAGAUUAAAACUCAAAGGGACGACAGACCCGCAUAAGCGGUGGAUGAUGUGGAUUAAUUGAUGCAACGCGAAAACUCAUCUACUCCUUGAUGAUGUCUGAAUCCCGAAGAGACUUUGGGAGCCGCAAGAGAACCGGAACACAGGUGCCGUAUGGCUGUCGUCAGCUCGUGUCGUGAUAUGUUGGCGUUUGUCCCGCAACGAGCGCAACCUGUCAUUAGUUGCUACGAAAGCGCAUCAAUGACUGCCAGACAGCCCUGGAGAAGGCGGGGAUGACGGCCAAGCCUCGCUGGCCCUUAUGGUAGGGCUUCUCACACGUCAUACAAUGGCUGGGACAGAGGGUCGCCAACCCGAGGGGGAGCCAAUCCCAGAAACCCGAUCGUAGUCCGAUCGCAGUUCGCAACUCGACUGCGUGAAGUCGGAAUCGCUAGUAAUCGCGGAUCAGCAUGUCGCAGCAAUGAUGUUCCUGGUCCUGUACACACCGCCCGUCACGACCAUGGAGGCUUUACCAGGAGUGGUUAGCCUAACCGUAAGGAGGGCGAUUAACACGGUAUUCAUGACUGGUGAAGUCGCAACAAGGU